RNAcentral lists this ribosomal RNA (371 nucleotides) under uncultured organism. Its description in RNAcentral is "bacterial SSU rRNA". It matches the Rfam family "Bacterial small subunit ribosomal RNA", at positions 526 to 896 of the family's 1533-position model. The record is from RNAcentral.
CGGAGGAUCCAAGCGUUUAUCCGGAUUUAUUGGGUUUAAAGGGUGCGUAGGUGGGAUGAUAAGUCAGAGGUGAAAGCUAGCAGCUUAACUGUUAAAUUGCCUUUGAUACUGUUAUUCUUGAGUGUAGUUGGCGUUGGCGGAAUGUGACAUGUAGCGGUGAAAUGCGUAGAUAUGUCACAGAACACCGAUCGCGAAGGCAGCUAACGAAGCUAUCACUGACACUGAUGCACGAAAGCGUGGGGAGCAAACAGGAUUAGAUACCCUGGUAGUCCACGCCGUAAACGAUGAUAACUCGACGUUGGCAAUAUACUGUUCAGCGUCCAAGCGAAAGCGUUAAGUUAUCCACCUGGGGGAGUACGAUCGCAAGGUUG